This 215-nucleotide ribosomal RNA is filed under the name Clostridioides difficile. RNAcentral's name for it is "partial 16S ribosomal RNA". It matches the Rfam family "Bacterial small subunit ribosomal RNA", at positions 1331 to 1533 of the family's 1533-position model. The record is from RNAcentral. Lineage: Bacteria; Bacillati; Bacillota; Clostridia; Peptostreptococcales; Peptostreptococcaceae.
GUUACUAGUAAUCGCAGAUCAGAAUGCUGCGGUGAAUGCGUUCCCGGGUCUUGUACACACCGCCCGUCACACCACGGGAGUUGGAGACGCCCGAAGCCGAUUAUCUAACCUUUUGGAAGAAGUCGUCGAAGGUGGAAUCAAUAACUGGGGUGAAGUCGUAACAAGGUAGCCGUAUCGGAAGGUGCGGCUGGAUCACCUCCUUUCUAAGGAGAAUU